CUGAACAUAGAGUCAAAUAGCCAAUCAUUUACUGCACAGAAAAAAGCAUAAGCUGAAAAAUAUUAACAUUUAAAAAAUGACAAAUUUACAUAUUAUGCAAAAGUCGAAGCCACUGUGUCCGUAAGAUACACUAAACUUGGUCUCUAGGUAAAGAAAAUAAGAAGUGAAACAGUAAUAGAAAUAAGACUUUGAAGCAAAUCUAUCAAUCACUCACAAUUUGUAGUAUUCAGGCAAAAACAAGUAGCACCUUGCUUCAUCUUUAAGAGCCAUAUUUGCACCCAUUUGCAAUUUCUCUACCUCAUCAAGUACAAAGUACUCAUUCUUCUCAACUGGCCAGUACAUGUAAAAUUGAAUUUCAAAGGAAGCAUAUAAAAAUUUUAAAGGUAAGAACUUACCAUUAUCACAGAGGUUGCCCAGUCUUUAUGAAUCUCAUCAAGCUAAGCUUGAGAUUAUUUACCGACACCCUUAAACUAUUAAUAUAAACAAACAAACACGCGACAUAUAUAGAGGAUAGUUGGGGAGAAUGAUGCAUAAGCCUCAAGGCGCUUGACAACCGUAUAUAAAGGUAUAGCUUUUUGUUAUUAGACACUAAAUUUUAAUCAGAUGCAGCAACGGACAGGGAAAACUUACAGUUUAGAAUCCUCCCUAUAGUGCAUAAUAAAACAAGAAAACCUUGUUUAUUAGUAUCUUAUAUGAGCUUCUGACACUUUUUUNCAUUGUGCAUGGAAAUCUCAACCUUUGAUACAUGUUAAUAGUUAACCAAACCAACAUAAUUUUAUCAUAACAGCCAAGCAAACACUUAAUCUAUCAUAACAACAAACAACCCUCACCCUCAUUGUCAAAUUGAUAAAAAAAAAUACUUCCUAUACUAGCAAUAGAUGAGCCUCUUAAGACGCUAACUUGCAUUAGCAUUCAAUUACAACUGCAUAAACAAAGGGUUUAUGCCAACUUACGACAUCAGAAUGCUGAAUACCUUCUCAUUGCAACAUCAGCAUAGGCAUGCCAAAAAAAAUGAAGAAAAGAGGUCAAGAACAAAGAGACUUUGGCUGAUUUGGAAUCUCUUAAGAAAGCAUUACAGCUCAAGAAAGUCUUUCCAAAAUCAUGUUUAGAGCAAGACGAGCCACUACACCAAUGGACUGGAAACGUCCUUAAAUCCACCAGGCUGGCGCGUUACAUAACAAACAGAAAUGAAGUCAUGUUUUUAUCUUUAGCCUUAUGGCAUUACCUGAACCUUGACGUCGUGAGGGGAACUCUCUCUAUAUCGUCUUCUUGAAGGAAAUCAGAAUGCUGGAACGGAAGGCAGCGACAAUGGCGUCGCGUCGGCAUCGGCGACCCCGGAAGAAAGCGGCAUCAGCUUUGGCGCUAGAGCAGCAUAUAAAGGGUGGAGAGUAGAGAUCCGACAAGAGGAAUAAAAGCGUCAGCCGGCGGCGACGGUGGAGCGGAGCCUCGAAGGUGAAUGGAGAAGGA
RNAcentral lists this long non-coding RNA (1467 nucleotides) under Salvia miltiorrhiza (redroot sage). RNAcentral's name for it is "long non-coding RNA (SMIL_LNC005307)". The record is from RNAcentral. Lineage: Eukaryota; Viridiplantae; Streptophyta; Magnoliopsida; Lamiales; Lamiaceae.